RNAcentral lists this transfer RNA (85 nucleotides) under Felis catus (domestic cat). It matches the Rfam family "tRNA". From Rfam's summary of the family: Transfer RNA (tRNA) molecules are approximately 80 nucleotides in length. The record is from Rfam by way of RNAcentral. Lineage: Eukaryota; Metazoa; Chordata; Mammalia; Carnivora; Felidae.
GCCUAGGUGGCUCAGUUGGUUAAGCAUCUGACUGCAGCUCAAAUGAUGAUCUCACGGUUCGUGGGCUCGAGCCCCAUCUCAGGCU